RNAcentral lists this ribosomal RNA (468 nucleotides) under uncultured bacterium. RNAcentral describes it as "partial 16S ribosomal RNA". It matches the Rfam family "Bacterial small subunit ribosomal RNA", at positions 28 to 507 of the family's 1533-position model. The record is from RNAcentral.
GACGAACGCUGGCGGCGUGCUUAACACAUGCAAGUCGAACGGAAAGGCCCUGCUUUUGUGGGGUGCUCGAUUGGCGAACGGGUGAGUAACACGUGAGUAACCUGCCCUUGACUUUGGGAUAACUUCAGGAAACUGGGGCUAAUACCGGAUAGGAGCUCCUGCUGCAUGGUGGGGGUUGGAAAGUUUCGGCGGUUGGGGAUGGACUCGCGGCUUAUCAGCUUGUUGGUGGGGUAGUGGCUUACCAAGGCUUUGACGGGUAGCCGGCCUGAGAGGGUGACCGGCCACAUUGGGACUGAGAUACGGCCCAGACUCCUACGGGCGGCAGCAGUGGGGAAUAUUGCACAACGGGCGGAAGCCUGAUGCAGCAACGCCGCGUGCGGGAUGACGGCCUUCGGGUUGUAAACCGCUUUCGCCUGUGACGAAGCGUGAGUGACGGUAAUGGGUAAAGAAGCCCCGGCUAACUACGUG